GUAGUCAUAUGCUUGUCUCAAAGAUUAAGCCAUGCAUGUCUAAGUAUAAACUAAUUUGUACGGUGAAACUGCGAAUGGCUCAUUAUAUCAGUUAUAAUUUAUUUGAUAGUCUCUUUACUACUUGGAUAACCGUGGUAAUUCUAGAGAUAAUACAUGCGUAAAGCCCGACUGGCGACGGAAGGGCUGUAUUUAUUAGAUAACAAACCAACGGCCGCAAGGCCUGCUGGUGAUUCAUGAUAACUGUGCGGAUCGUAUGGCCUUGCGCCGACGACGUUUCAUUCAAAUAUCUGCCCUAUCAGGUUUCGAUGGUAGGAUAGGGGCCUACCAUGCCAGCAACGGGUAACGGGGAAUGA
Molecule: ribosomal RNA, 353 nt
Filed under: uncultured fungus
Lineage: Eukaryota; Fungi
Description: bacterial SSU rRNA
Rfam family: Eukaryotic small subunit ribosomal RNA
Source: RNAcentral